Neoarius graeffei (lesser salmon catfish) is the source of this 806-nucleotide long non-coding RNA. RefSeq lists it as uncharacterized. The record is from RefSeq and is a predicted model, not a curated record. The transcript has 5 exons. Lineage: Eukaryota; Metazoa; Chordata; Actinopteri; Siluriformes; Ariidae.
ACAUACCUGACUGUGACAAGCUGUUGACAGGCUGUGCUGCUUUUCUCAGUUUACAACUUUGCGUCCACCUUUCCUGACUUUGAUUUUUGAUCUCAGAAUGCCUCUGACAUUCUGACCGUGCCUCACUUGACCCUUGCUUCCCCUGACUACACUUUGGAUUACAAUUUGGAUUUGUUUACUAGUUUCCUACGGACUCUCCUCUGUGAUUUUUGCAUCUAGAAAUUGGACUUCUGAUCAACAUGAAUUUUGGCUCUGCAAUAUCUGUCUGUCAAUAUGUCUUCACAGGCAGAAUAAAACUUCUUCUGAGCCUCUUACCAAUUAUUAUCAUUGGCCUAGGGGCAAAACACAUUUACGAUUGCCCAAAGCAGCCCAUGAUUCCUGUCUACCUGCUAGUAGGAGGAAUAGUCUGUCUGAUUAUCCACAUCCUUUAUUAUGAUUGGUGCAGCCAACUUGUUCAGCUGUGCCGGAUUCUUCAAAUACUGCUCCUUGGUGUUUGUCUGAUCUGGCUCUUGACAGGUAGCAUUUUUGUAUACAUGGCAUAUGAACCAAGCUACGACUCUUCUCUCUCUGCUGACUACUGUGAGAGGACUGUCUACAAGUUUGCUUUCUGGAUUACAACUGCUAUAUACACUGCCAUUCUGAUAAUAUUGCUCGGACUCUGUUGCAGCCGUCUCCUGAAGUUAUGUAACGAAACAGCUCAAAAUCAUUGUCACAUAAGCACAGUUUCCUGAAAACAUGAAGUGAAAGUUCUUUGGAUAAUGCGCCAGUAGGAUAUUUUUACUUUUGUCAUUACAGAUGUUAUAAAU